RNAcentral lists this ribosomal RNA (481 nucleotides) under uncultured bacterium. RNAcentral describes it as "partial 16S ribosomal RNA". It matches the Rfam family "Bacterial small subunit ribosomal RNA", at positions 28 to 507 of the family's 1533-position model. The record is from RNAcentral.
GAUGAACGCUGGCGGCGUGCUUAACACAUGCAAGUCGAACGAAGCACUUUAUUUUAUUUCCUUCGGGACUGAUUAUUUUGUGACUGAGUGGCGGACGGGUGAGUAACGCGUGGGUAACCUGCCUUGUACAGGGGGAUAACAGUUGGAAACGGCUGCUAAUACCGCAUAAGCGCCCAGCAUCGCAUGAUGCAGUGUGAAAAACUCCGGUGGUAUAAGAUGGACCCGCGUUGGAUUAGCUAGUUGGUGAGGUAACGGCCCACCAAGGCGACGAUACAUAGCCGAGCUGAGAGAGUGACCGGACACAUUGAGACUGGGACACGGCCCAAAAUCCUACGAGAGGCAGGAGUGGGGGAUAUUGCACAAUGGGCGAGAGCAUGAUGCAGCGAGGCCGCGUGAGCGAAGAAGUAUUUCGGUAUGAAAAGCUCUAUCAGCAGGGAAGCUAAUGACGGUACCUGACUAAGAAGCACCGGCUAAAUACGUG